AUACGUAGGGUGCAAGCGUUAAUCGGAAUUACUGGGCGUAAAGCGUGCGCAGGCGGUUUUGUAAGGCAGAGGUGAAAUCCCCGGGCUCAACCUGGGAACUGCCUUUGUGACUGCAAGGCUAGAGUACGGCAGAGGGGGGUGGAAUUCCGCGGGGAGACGUGAAAUGCGUAGAUAUGCGGAGGAACACCGAUGGCGAAGGCAAUCCCCUGGGCCUGUACUGACGCUCAUGCACGAAAGCGUGGGGAGCAAACAGGAUUAGAUACCCUGGUAGUCCACGCCCUAAACGAUGUCAACUGGUUGUUGGGUCUUCAUUGACUCAGUAACGAAGCUAACGCGUGAAGUUGACCGCCUGGGGAGUACGGCCGCAAGGUUGAAACUCAAAUGAAUUGACGGGG
This 395-nucleotide ribosomal RNA is filed under the name uncultured bacterium. Its description in RNAcentral is "partial 16S ribosomal RNA". It matches the Rfam family "Bacterial small subunit ribosomal RNA", at positions 523 to 918 of the family's 1533-position model. The record is from RNAcentral.